This 97-nucleotide ribosomal RNA is filed under the name Acidovorax sp. SCN 65-108. Its description in RNAcentral is "partial 23S ribosomal RNA". It matches the Rfam family "Bacterial large subunit ribosomal RNA", at positions 2838 to 2925 of the family's 2925-position model. Lineage: Bacteria; Pseudomonadati; Pseudomonadota; Betaproteobacteria; Burkholderiales; Comamonadaceae. The record is from RNAcentral.
UUCAAGACCAGGACGUUGAUAGGUCAGGUGUGGAAGCGCAGUAAUGCGUUAAGCUAACUGAUACUAAUUGCUCGUGCGGCUUGACCCUAUAACUUUG